AGGACGAACGCUGGCGGCGUGCUUAACACAUGCAAGUCGAGCGGUAAGGCCUUUCGGGGUACACGAGCGGCGAACGGGUGAGUAACACGUGGGUGAUCUGCCCUGCACUCUGGGAUAAGCCUGGGAAACUGGGUCUAAUACCGGAUAUGACCUGCUCUCGCA
RNAcentral lists this ribosomal RNA (162 nucleotides) under uncultured soil bacterium. RNAcentral's name for it is "partial 16S ribosomal RNA". It matches the Rfam family "Bacterial small subunit ribosomal RNA", at positions 26 to 190 of the family's 1533-position model. The record is from RNAcentral.